RNAcentral lists this long non-coding RNA (203 nucleotides) under Nicotiana benthamiana. RNAcentral describes it as "long non-coding RNA (NBEN_LNC020171)". Lineage: Eukaryota; Viridiplantae; Streptophyta; Magnoliopsida; Solanales; Solanaceae. The record is from RNAcentral.
GCCAAGUAAAAACGAGAGUCCUUGUAUUAUUCUGCGAGAUUAAUAAAGGUUGGGUUUUUACCCGUAAAUUGUGUGUGUUCUUACGUUUGGUUCAAUCUUGAAAGUUUUUAAGUAAGGCUGUGUUGUGCGGAAAAAGGCAAGGCUGAAGUAGCAGCGAGCUACUGCCGCGCGGUGUUAAUUUUGCGAAAAUUAGCCCCGUGACA